Molecule: ribosomal RNA, 233 nt
Filed under: uncultured bacterium
Lineage: Bacteria
Description: partial 16S ribosomal RNA
Rfam family: Bacterial small subunit ribosomal RNA
Source: RNAcentral
CGGGACGGGUGAGUAAUGUCUGGGAAACUAGCCUGAUGAGGGGGGAUAACUACUGGAAACGGUAGCUAAUACCGCAUAACGUCGCAAGACCAAAGAGGGGACCUUCGGGCCUCUUGCCAUCGGAUGUGCCCAGAUGGGAUUAGCUAGUAGGUGGGGUAACGGCUCACCUAGGCGACGAUCCCUAGCUGGUCUGAGAGGAUGACCAGCCACACUGGAACUGAGACACGGUCCAG